UUUGAUCAUGGCUCAGAACGAACGUUAGCGGCGCGCCUAACACAUGCAAGUCGAACGCGACUGGGGGCAACUCCAGUUGAGUGGCGCACGGGUGAGUAACACGUAGGUAAUCUCCCCCCGAGUGGUGGAUAACCCUCCGAAAGGAGAGCUAAUACAGCAUGAGACCACGGCUUCGAAAGGAGCUGAGGUCAAAGCGGAGGAUCGCAAGACUUCGCGCUUGGGGAUGAGCCUGCGGCCCAUCAUGGUAGUUGGCGGGGUAAUGGCCCACCAAGCCUUAGACGGGUAGCUGGUCUGAGAGGAUGAUCAGCCACACUGGAACUGAGACACGGUCCAGACUCCUACGGGAGGCAGCAGUGGGGAAUCUUGCGCAAUGGACGAAAGUCUGACGCAGCG
RNAcentral lists this ribosomal RNA (393 nucleotides) under uncultured bacterium. RNAcentral describes it as "bacterial SSU rRNA". It matches the Rfam family "Bacterial small subunit ribosomal RNA", at positions 12 to 393 of the family's 1533-position model. The record is from RNAcentral.